ACUUUGCAAUGUGCGAAAGCACGACAAGGUUAAUCCGAGUGGUUCCUGCUAAAGGAACCUUUUGUCGGUCCUAGAAACACCGAUGAAUAAGGGGUGGGCAAGUUCUGGUGUCAGCCGCCGCGGUAAAACCAGCACCUCAAGUGGUCAGGAUGAUUAUUGGGCCUAAAGCAUCCGUAGCCGGCUCUGUAAGUUUUCGGUUAAAUCUGUACGCUUAACGUACAGGCUGCCGGGAAUACUGCAGAGCUAGGGAGUGGGAGAGGUAGACGGUACUCGGUAGGAAGGGGUAAAAUCCUUUGAUCUAUCGAUGACCACCUGUGGCGAAGGCGGUCUACCAGAACACGUCCGACGGUGAGGGAUGAAAGCUGGGGGAGCAAACCGGGAUUAGGA
This 387-nucleotide ribosomal RNA is filed under the name uncultured crenarchaeote. RNAcentral describes it as "bacterial SSU rRNA". It matches the Rfam family "Archaeal small subunit ribosomal RNA", at positions 347 to 734 of the family's 1478-position model. The record is from RNAcentral. Lineage: Archaea; Thermoproteati; Thermoproteota.